This is a non-coding RNA of Drosophila melanogaster (fruit fly), 339 nucleotides long. The record is from Ensembl. Lineage: Eukaryota; Metazoa; Arthropoda; Insecta; Diptera; Drosophilidae.
GCAGAGAUGUCUCGCCGUUGCCGUUGCCAGGUACACCUCUACAUCCAAUCCUAUCCUAUCCUAUCCUUUCCAUUAUCCUGUCAUGGGUCCUGGGCGACUCUCAAGUGGUUGCCGGCUUCAACAUUGUUCGCCCUGCCUCGUGCAAGUUGGCAAAACUGUUGGAAAAAGUAACAUUUCAGUCGACCUGGGAACUGAAGAGCUCAAGUGCCAAACAAGAUUUAAAGUUUGAUUAGUUGCAAAAUAGAAGAAGAGGGAUUGAAGAUUUCCGAUAAGACAAAUUCUAUAUAAAUGUAAAAAUGAAAUAAAAUGUAUUUAAUUCUCUUUAUAAACGUAUGCAAU